UCCAAAGAGACCUUGGACUGGUAAAUUUGGUGACCAUAAAACCUCUCUAGAUGCCCAUGGCAUUCUGUCGAGCAUCUUGUGUGCUUGACCAGAAUUGACAUAGUUUUUAGACUGCAUUGGAGACUCUCCUCCUGUGCCUUUGGGUAGUCUUGGCAUUCCGUCGAACGAUUGGCGUGCGUGCUCUGGGCGUGAGCAGAGCGUGCAUAUUGCAGCCGCUGCAUCUGAGCCCCCGCGUCCACCUACCCUGCCCUUUUGGCCCUUGCUCACCGCGUAGAGUCGCGCCCCCUCCCUUCCCUCUCCCGAGAGCUGCUGGAGCCGCCAGCGCUGCCACCACAGCUGCCAUGGCAGUCUGCCGUCGACAGCAGCUCGCCCUGCCAUGGUUGCACCACCCAAGUCACCCCCGACAACCAGCUCACCUCCACAAGCAGUACUGAGCGCGUCCGCUAGCCCCCAAUCACGCUGGUCACGCCGCGUCACCUCUCCGGCCGCUGUAGCGGCAAGACACCGUGGCCACUCUCGGGAAGCUUCACAACCGACAUAGCCGCCUAUUUAAACCCCCAAGCCUUCCCCAGUUCACCACACCGUGCUAGAGAUCCCCUAGGGACCCCCUGAUGCGACCAGUGACCGGAGGAAGCCGCAUUCCACCCUCCGGCGAGCCCGGCCGUAGUCACAAGUUGAGCAAAUUCGGCCUACCCAUGCCCUUCCCUUGGGUGUUGCUUCUCCUAGAGCUCCAAGGGAAGCCAUGGCAUCCUCCCCCGUCGCAAUAUAGAAUAGGGCAGCAAGUAGGCGGAAGCUGACGUUAGCCCUGCCAGAGCUUCUUCGGCAAGCGCUGCCGCCGGUAAGGUGCAGCUCUCCGUCGCCCCUACUUGCCUCACCGGAGCGGUCCGGAUGCCCUAAGCAUAUCCAUGUGAUUCCCUCCUCGAGGGGCGCCGCUGUUCGUCGAGGAUCGCCGCCAGCCGAGACGUCCCAUGCCCCCGCGCGGUGGUCUGGAGUCUCGACGAGGGUCAAACCUGGCAAGCGAGACCCGCCGUCAGUCACCCAACGCACUUCGAGCCGCUGUAUAUUCAAAGUACACACUGGCUUGUCCCUCGCUAUUGUCUUGGCCAGAUUGCGUGCUUGGAGAGGAGAAACUCGACGAUAAACCCGGAACCUAGGCACCGAAGACAGCAGCCCCAUGAGAAA
This is a long non-coding RNA of Hordeum vulgare subsp. vulgare (domesticated barley), 1182 nucleotides long. RefSeq lists it as uncharacterized. The record is from RefSeq and is a predicted model, not a curated record. Lineage: Eukaryota; Viridiplantae; Streptophyta; Magnoliopsida; Poales; Poaceae. The transcript is spliced from 2 exons.